AAUCAGAUGUGAAGGAGUUAAAAUCGACCUCUGCAAAAUCGUCACACAUGCAAUUUUGUAAAUCUUGCCGGCUUCGUCAUUCCCUCCAAAUUCAUCUGUAAGAAUUGAAUUCGCCUAGAGGCCACGAUGACAUGUUUGACUAGCAAGAUAGCAGCGAAGUUAAGGGUGCUCAACCACUUUAACAUAUACUAGUCACGCGAUUACUGUAAGCAGUUAUACAGUAUAUGGCCUAUACUAACCAACGUAGCACAGUGUAUAACCUCAGCGAUAUUUGUUGUAAUACAGUACUCUAAGUAUUGAACUAAGAAUUAACAUUAUUUAUUUAAGUAAGGCGGGAAUACUGUUGGCUGACCGUGUCUUAUAAGACCCACAUAUACAAGCAAGUCAUCUAGAUGAGCGAUAAUGAAAUUGAGCGAAGACUGAACAAAUUUGCUAUACUGACCAUU
This is a long non-coding RNA of Anneissia japonica, 446 nucleotides long. RefSeq lists it as uncharacterized. The record is from RefSeq and is a predicted model, not a curated record. NCBI's taxonomy places the organism in Eukaryota, Metazoa, Echinodermata, Crinoidea, Comatulida, Comatulidae. The transcript has 3 exons.